This is a long non-coding RNA of Canis lupus familiaris (dog), 877 nucleotides long. RefSeq lists it as uncharacterized. Lineage: Eukaryota; Metazoa; Chordata; Mammalia; Carnivora; Canidae. The transcript is spliced from 3 exons. The record is from RefSeq and is a predicted model, not a curated record.
GAGGGGCCACCCCAUCACUAAGUACCGAAACGGCGAUAGGGACUUCAGUAUAUAGGACAUGUUCCAUUGCAAAGAGACCAAUCGGAUUCGUCUGGGCUCAUGUGCAACAAGAUCCAAGGAACGCAGCUAAUAUAUGGAAAGGAAAUGAGAUGCAGGACGAGACUGGCUUUUAGGAUCAUGAAUAUGAAUUGACAAACAUACACUAAUUCGAAUGAGAGCAGCGGUUCUAGAAAGCAGCAAGUUGUGGCAUUUGGUGGAAGUUUCUUGUCAGUUACGUCAGGUCCCCGACGCGGGCAGAACCAAAUUAGGGGGGAGCCAAAGAAGCGAAGCAGGACUGAGCCAGAGUUUGGAAUUCCAGUGUCCAUGUGGGCACAGAACCAAGCCACACAAGAAAGGAUACAAGCAGGGGACAGCGCUGAGGUGAACCAAAAGCCGGGAUGGAAGCAUGGCAAUCCAGAUUCUUCUAUUGCAAAGAAGAGAAAUUUGCUGUGGAGAAUGCAAGCGAAACAGAGUUGGGUUUAGAUGAAGUCACGACGGGAGGAUCCUUAUGAUGGGAUGAGUGCCCUUUUAAGAAGAGCUAGAGAACGAGAUCUCCUGCAUUGAGGAAAGUCCUACGAAGACACAGUGAGAAGGCAGCCAGCCAUCUGCAAGCUCUGAAGAGAGCUCUCUACAGAACCUGACCAUGUUAGCCCCUACUGUCAGACUUCUGGCCUUCAGAACCAUGAGAAAAUACAUUUCUGUUUGGUAGUUCACCUUAAGGAUAACCUGGAAGAAGAAACAAAUGCUGUGCCAUUGCCUCAGGCUCUACCCUCUGUCAAUUGGUAAAUCACCAAGCUAGGUUUACCGUUACAGUUCAAUAAAAUAUUUGGAAGAAGAG